Molecule: ribosomal RNA, 333 nt
Filed under: uncultured bacterium
Lineage: Bacteria
Description: bacterial SSU rRNA
Rfam family: Bacterial small subunit ribosomal RNA
Source: RNAcentral
CGUGUAGGCGGAUGGGGACGUCGGUUGCUGAAAUCCCCCGGCUCAACCGGGGAACGGGCGCCGAAACGCCCCGUCUGGAGGGGCGUAGGGGGACCUGGAACUUCCGGUGGAGCGGUGAAAUGCGUUGAGAUCGGAAGGAACGCCCGUGGCGAAAGCGAGGUCCUGGACGUUUUCUGACGCUGAGACGCGAAAGCUAGGGUAGCGAACGGGAUUAGAUACCCCGGUAGUCCUAGCUGUAAACGAUGGGCACUGGGUAGGGGGCUCGCCGAUGGGCUCUCUGCCGAAGGGAAACCGUGAAGUGCCCCGCCUGGGGAGUAUGGUCGCAAGGCUGAA